AGCGAACGCUGGCGGCAUGCUUAACACAUGCAGGUCGCACGAACCUUUCGGGGUUAGUGGCGGACGGGUGAGUAACGCGUAGGAAUCUGUCCACGGGUGGGGGAUAACUCUGGGAAACUGGAGCUAAUACCGCAUGAUACCUGAGGGUCAAAGGCGCAAGUCGCCUGUGGAGGAGCCUGCGUUCGAUUAGCUAGUUGGUGGGGUAAAGGCCUACCAAGGCGAUGUUCGAUAGCUGGUUUGAGAGGAUGAUCAGCCACACUGGGACUGUGACACGGCCCAGACUCCUACGGGAGGCAGCAGUGGGGAAUAUUGGACAAUGGGGGCAACCCUGAUCCAGCAAUGCCGCGUGUGUGAAGAAGGUCUUCGGAGUGUAAAGCACUUUCGACGGGGACGAUGAUGACGGUACCCGUAGAAGAAGCCCCGGCUAACUCCGUGCCAGCCGCCGCCGUAA
This 451-nucleotide ribosomal RNA is filed under the name uncultured bacterium. RNAcentral's name for it is "partial 16S ribosomal RNA". It matches the Rfam family "Bacterial small subunit ribosomal RNA", at positions 29 to 523 of the family's 1533-position model. The record is from RNAcentral.